AAUGAACGCUGGCGGCAUGGAUUAGGCAUGCAAGUCGAACGGGCCGUUUUUCGCAAGAGAGACGGUCAGUGGCGAAAGGGUGAGUAACACGUGAGCAACCUGCCCCCGAGUCCGGGAUAGCCCGCGGAAACGCGGAUUAAUACCGGAUGUGGUACCCCGUCGCAUGGCGGGGCCACUGAAGAUUUAUCGCUCGGGGAUGGACUCGCGGCCCAUAAGCUGGUUGGUGGGGUAACGGCCCACCAAGGCGAUGACGGGUAGGUGGUCUGAGAGGAUGGUCACCCACACUGGGACUGAGACACUGCCCAGACUCCUACGGGUGGCUG
This 323-nucleotide ribosomal RNA is filed under the name uncultured Lentisphaerota bacterium. Its description in RNAcentral is "bacterial SSU rRNA". It matches the Rfam family "Bacterial small subunit ribosomal RNA", at positions 29 to 351 of the family's 1533-position model. Lineage: Bacteria; Pseudomonadati; Lentisphaerota. The record is from RNAcentral.